AGAGUUUGAUCCUGGCUCAGGAUGAACGCUAGCGACAGGCUUAACACAUGNAACCGUGAGGGGCAGCAUGAUUUGUAGCAAUACAGAUUGAUGGCGACCGGCGCACGGGUGAGUAACGCGUAUGCAACUUACCUAUCAGAGGGGGAUAGCCCGGCGAAAGUCGGAUUAAUACCCCAUAAAACAGGGGUCCCGCAUGGGAAUAUUUGUUAAAGAUUCAUCGCUGAUAGAUAGGCAUGCGUUUCAUUAGGCAGUUGGCGGGGUAACGGCCCACCAAACCGACGAUGGAUAGGGGUUCUGAGAGGAAGGUCCCCCACAUUGGUACUGAGACACGGACCAAACUCCUACGGGAGGCAGCA
Molecule: ribosomal RNA, 356 nt
Filed under: uncultured bacterium
Lineage: Bacteria
Description: bacterial SSU rRNA
Rfam family: Bacterial small subunit ribosomal RNA
Source: RNAcentral